GAUGAACGCUGGCGGCGUGCCUAAUACAUGCAAGUCGAGCGAACAGACGAGGAGCUUGCUCCUCUGACGUUAGCGGCGGACGGGUGAGUAACACGUGGAUAACCUACCUAUAAGACUGGGAUAACUUCGGGAAACCGGAGCUAAUACCGGAUAAUAUAUUGAACCGCAUGGUUCAAUAGUGAAAGACGGUUUUGCUGUCACUUAUAGAUGGUUCCGCGCCGCAUUAGGUAGUUGGUAAGGUAACGGCUUACCAAGGCAACGAUGCGUAGCCGACCUGAGGGGGUGGUCGGCGACACUGGAACUGGAACACGGACCAGACGCCUGCGGGAGGCAGCAGUAGGGAAUGUGCCGCAAUGGGCGAGAGCCUGACGGAGCGACGCCGCGUGAGUGAUGAAGGUCUUCGGAUCGUAAAACUCUGUUAUUAGGGAAGAACAAAUGUGUAAGUAACUAUGCACGUAUUGACGGUACCUAAUCAGAAAGCCACGGCUAACUACGUG
Molecule: ribosomal RNA, 497 nt
Filed under: uncultured bacterium
Lineage: Bacteria
Description: partial 16S ribosomal RNA
Rfam family: Bacterial small subunit ribosomal RNA
Source: RNAcentral